Non-coding RNA from Pelobates cultripes (western spadefoot toad), 426 nucleotides. NCBI's taxonomy places the organism in Eukaryota, Metazoa, Chordata, Amphibia, Anura, Pelobatidae. The record is from the annotation of a GenBank genome assembly.
GGCACAUCGAGCCACUGACCUGCAAUAGCAACCUCAGAUACAUUAUACAGAUACUUGAUGUAAUUCUGCCAAUAUAUACACAUUCAUUUUCCAUUCUGCUGGUAUUUUAAAAAGCUGAAUUCCCACGAAUGCCAGAUUUUAGAUGGCAUUCAAGACUAAUAUUUUAGCAGACACCAAUUUUUUUCUGAUCUUGACCUCAAAAUACACUUAGUUAAUGCAUAGCUGUCCCUAUUUAGGAUGGACAGUCACUAUUUGGAGCCUAAAUCCCAUUGUCUCUAUUUUCCAUCCUACUGCCUCUCUCUUCUAGUUGGUGUGUCUAGGUAAAACAGAUACAUGUUCUGCUAAAUUCAAUUUUAGUUGUAUACAUUUUUCACACCGACACUCAUACACCUAUAAUUAAAGUAUCCCUUUUUUCCAGAAGAUAAU